GCUGUGGUGGUGGAAUGGCAGACACGCCAGCUUGAGGGGCUGGUCCCAGCAAUGGGGUGGAGGUUCAAGUCCUCUCCACAGCACCA
This 86-nucleotide transfer RNA is filed under the name Candidatus Abawacabacteria bacterium RBG_16_42_10. RNAcentral describes it as "tRNA-Leu". It matches the Rfam family "tRNA". Rfam says of the family: Transfer RNA (tRNA) molecules are approximately 80 nucleotides in length. Their secondary structure includes four short double-helical elements and three loops (D, anti-codon, and T loops). Further hydrogen bonds mediate the characteristic L-shaped molecular structure. tRNAs have two regions of fundamental functional importance: the anti-codon, which is responsible for specific mRNA codon recognition, and the 3' end, to which the tRNAs corresponding amino acid is attached (by aminoacyl-tRNA synthetases). tRNAs cope with the degeneracy of the genetic code in two manners: having more than one tRNA (with a specific anti-codon) for a particular amino acid; and 'wobble' base-pairing, i.e. permitting non-standard base-pairing at the 3rd anti-codon position. The record is from RNAcentral. Lineage: Bacteria; Candidatus Abawacaibacteriota.